Molecule: ribosomal RNA, 412 nt
Filed under: uncultured bacterium
Lineage: Bacteria
Description: bacterial SSU rRNA
Rfam family: Bacterial small subunit ribosomal RNA
Source: RNAcentral
GGGCCCGCACAAGCGGUGGAGCAUGUGGUUUAAUUCGAUGAUACGCGAGGAACCUUACCAGGUCUUAAAUGCAUAACGAACGAUUGGGAAACCAAUCUUUCUUCGGACGGAAUGCAAGGUGCUGCAUGGUUGUCGUCAGCUCGUGCCGUGAGGUGUCAGGUUAAGUCCUAUAACGAGCGCAACCCCUAUUCUUAGUUGCCAGCGGUUCGGCCGGGGACUCUAAGAAAACUGCCAGUGCAAGCUGUGAGGAAGGUGGGGAUGACGUCAAAUCAUCACGGCCCUUACGACCUGGGCCACACACGUGCUACAAUGGUAGGUACAAAGGGCAGCCACUUGGCGACAAGGAGCUAAUCUCUAAAACCUAUCUCAGUUCGGAUUGGAGUCUGAAACUCGACUCUAUGAAGCUGGAAUC